GGAUGCGAUCAUACCAGCACUAAUGCACCGGAUCCCAUCAGAACUCCGCAGUUAAGCGUGCUUGGGCGAGAGUAGUACUAGGAUGGGUGACC
This 92-nucleotide ribosomal RNA is filed under the name Photobacterium chitinilyticum. The record is from RNAcentral. Lineage: Bacteria; Pseudomonadati; Pseudomonadota; Gammaproteobacteria; Vibrionales; Vibrionaceae.